This 442-nucleotide ribosomal RNA is filed under the name uncultured Alphaproteobacteria bacterium. Its description in RNAcentral is "bacterial SSU rRNA". It matches the Rfam family "Bacterial small subunit ribosomal RNA", at positions 29 to 505 of the family's 1533-position model. Lineage: Bacteria; Pseudomonadati; Pseudomonadota; Alphaproteobacteria. The record is from RNAcentral.
AACGAACGCUGGCGGCAGGCUUAAUACAUGCAAGUCGAACGAGAAAGCAUCUUCGGGUGUGAGUAGAGUGGCGCACGGGUGAGUAACGCGUGGGAAUGUACCCAGAAGUAAGGGAUAACAGUUAGAAAUGACUGCUAAUACCUUAUAAUGACUCCGGUCUAAAGAUUUAUCGCUUCUGGAUCAGCCCGCGUGAGAUUAGUUUGUUGGUGGGGUAAUGGCCUACCAAGACUACGAUCUCUAGCUGGUCUGAGAGGAUGAUCAGCCACACUGGAACUGAGACACGGUCCAGACUCCUACGGGAGGCAGCAGUAGGGAAUAUUGGACAAUGGGCGAAAGCCUGAUCCAGCCAUGCCGCGUGUGUGAUGAAGGCCUUAGGGUUGUAAAACACUUUCAAUGGUGAAGAUAAUGACGGUAACCAUAGAAGAAGCCCCGGCUAACUUCG